UCCCCCUGACAAUGGGCAAAGAAACACUUUGUUGGUGGUGGUGUCCUUAUAUCAGUCAGGGGCAGAGCAGACGGCAGUCCUUUCUUCUUCUUCUUUUUUUUUUUUAAUUCUUUUUUUCGGAGCUGGGGACCGAA
Small nucleolar RNA from Rattus norvegicus (Norway rat), 134 nucleotides. Ensembl annotates it as small nucleolar RNA SNORA48. The record is from Ensembl. Lineage: Eukaryota; Metazoa; Chordata; Mammalia; Rodentia; Muridae.